GACGAACGCUGGCGGCGUGCUUAACACAUGCAAGUCGAACGGAAAGGCCCUGCUUGCAGGGUACUCGAGUGGCGAACGGGUGAGUAACACGUGGGUGAUCUGCCCUGCACUUCGGGAUAAGCCUGGGAAACUGGGUCUAAUACCGGAUAGGAGCCAUUUUUAGUGUGAUGGUUGGAAAGUUUUUUCGGUGUAGGAUGAGCUCGCGGCCUAUCGGCUUGUUGGUGGGGUAAUGGCCUACCAAGGCGGCGACGGGUAGCCGGCCUGAGAGGGUGGACGGCCACAUUGGGACUGAGAUACGGCCCAGACUCCUACGGGAGGCAGCAGUGGGGAAUAUUGCACAAUGGGCGCAAGCCGGAUGCAGCGACGCCGCGUGGGGGAUGACGGCCUUCGGGUUGUAAACUCCUUUCGCUAGGGACGAAGCUUUUUGUGACGGUACCUAGAUAAGAAGCACCGGCUAACUACGUG
RNAcentral lists this ribosomal RNA (465 nucleotides) under uncultured bacterium. RNAcentral's name for it is "partial 16S ribosomal RNA". It matches the Rfam family "Bacterial small subunit ribosomal RNA", at positions 28 to 507 of the family's 1533-position model. The record is from RNAcentral.